AGCAGCCGCGGUAAUUCCAGCUCCAAUAGCGUAUAUUAAAGUUGUUGCGGUAAAAAAGCUCGUAGUUGGAUUUCUGUUGAGGGCGUCCGGUCCGUACCACGUACGCGUAUCUGGGUCGCGCUCGGCAUCCUCUCGAAGAACGGUUCUCGCGCUUGAUUGCGUGGUCCGGGUUUCGGGACUUUUACUUUGAGGAAAUUAGAGUGUUCACGGCAGGCAAUUGCCCGGAUACAUUAGCAUGGAAUAAUACUAUAGGAUUUUGGUUCUAUUUUGUUGGUUUCUAGGACUAAAAUAAUGAUUAAUAGGGACAAUUGGGGGCAUUCGUAUCAACACGCUAGAGGUGAAAUUCUUGGAUUGUGUUGCGACGAACUACUGCGAAAGCAUUUGCCAAGGAUGUUUUCAUUGAUCAAGAACGAAAGUAAGGGGAUCGAAGAUGAUUAGAUACCGUCGUAGUCUUUACCACAAACUAUGCCAACUAGAGAUGGGGCAUCGUUCAAUACGACUUGCUCCGCACCUUAUGAGAUAUCAAAGUCUUUGGGUUCCGGGGGGAGUAUGGUCGCAAGUCUGGAACUUAAAGGAAUUGACGGAAGGGCACCACCAGGAGUGGAGCCUGCGGCUUAAUUUGACUCAACACGGGGAAACUCACCAGGUCCAGACAUAAUAAGGAUUGACAGAUUGAUAGCUCUUUCUUGAUUUUAUGGGUGGUGGUGCAUGGCCGUUCUUAGUUCGUGGAGUGAUUUGUCUGCUUAAUUGCGUUAACGAACGAGACCUUAACCUGCUAAAUAGGAGCGUCUAUCUUCGGAUAAGCGCCUUUCUUCUUAGAGGGACUUUGUGCGUUUCAGCAUGAGGAAGUUUGAGGCUAAAACAGGUCUGUGAUGCCC
RNAcentral lists this ribosomal RNA (878 nucleotides) under uncultured eukaryote. RNAcentral describes it as "SSU rRNA". It matches the Rfam family "Eukaryotic small subunit ribosomal RNA", at positions 569 to 1472 of the family's 1831-position model. The record is from RNAcentral.